UAGGGAAUCUUCCACAAUGGACGAAAGUCUGAUGGAGCAACGCCGCGUGAGUGAAGAAGGUUUUCGGAUCGUAAGCUCUGUUGUUGGUGAAGAAGGAUAGAGGCAGUAACUGGUCUUUAUUUGACGGUAAUCAACCAGAAAGUCACGGCUAACUACGUGCCAG
RNAcentral lists this ribosomal RNA (163 nucleotides) under uncultured bacterium. RNAcentral describes it as "partial 16S rRNA". It matches the Rfam family "Bacterial small subunit ribosomal RNA", at positions 355 to 511 of the family's 1533-position model. The record is from RNAcentral.